GUGCUUGCUUCAGCAGCACAUGUACUAAAAUUGGAACAACAUAAAGAAGAUUGGCAUGGCCUCUGUGCAAGAAUGACAUGCAAAUUUGUGAAGCGUUCCAUAUUUUU
This 107-nucleotide small nuclear RNA is filed under the name Camelus bactrianus (Bactrian camel). RNAcentral also lists the same sequence under 1 other name. Lineage: Eukaryota; Metazoa; Chordata; Mammalia; Artiodactyla; Camelidae. The record is from RNAcentral.